GCACAAGCGGAGGAGCAUGUGGUUAAUUCGAUGAUACGCGAGGAACCUUACCUGGGCUCGAACGUAAGAUGACUGUAGGUGAAAGCUUACAUCUCUUCGGAGCAUUUUACGAGGUGCUGCAUGGUUGUCGUCAGCUCGUGCCGUGAGGUGUCGGGUUAAGUCCCAUAACGAGCGCAACCCCUACCUUUAGUUGCCAUCAGGUUAAGCUGGGGACUCUAAAGGAACUGCCUACGCAAGUAGUGAGGAAGCGGGGAUGACGUCAAAUCAGCACGGCCCUUACGUCCAGGGCUACACACGUGCUACAAUGGCCGAUACAGAGGGCAGCUACCUGGUGACAGGAUGCAAAUCUCCAAAGUCGGUCUCAGUUCGGAUCGGAGUCUGCAACCCGACUCCGUGAAGUUGGAUUCGCUAGUAAUCGCGCAUCAGCCAUGGCGCGGUGAAUACGUUCCCGGGCCUU
Molecule: ribosomal RNA, 457 nt
Filed under: uncultured Sphingobacteriales bacterium
Lineage: Bacteria; Pseudomonadati; Bacteroidota; Sphingobacteriia; Sphingobacteriales
Description: bacterial SSU rRNA
Rfam family: Bacterial small subunit ribosomal RNA
Source: RNAcentral